Molecule: transfer RNA, 75 nt
Filed under: Bacteroidales bacterium
Lineage: Bacteria; Pseudomonadati; Bacteroidota; Bacteroidia; Bacteroidales
Also listed under: 1 other name
Description: tRNA-Arg
Rfam family: tRNA
About the family: Transfer RNA (tRNA) molecules are approximately 80 nucleotides in length. Their secondary structure includes four short double-helical elements and three loops (D, anti-codon, and T loops).
Source: RNAcentral
ACUCCCGUAGUUUAAUGGAUAGAAUUGAAGAUUCCGGUUCUUCCGGUUGGGGUUCGAUUCCCCACGGGAGUACCA